GCGGCGUGCUUAACACAUGCAAGUCGAACGGAAAGGCCCUGCUUUUGUGGGGUGCUCGAGUGGCGAACGGGUGAGUAACACGUGAGUAACCUGCCCUUGACUUUGGGAUAACUUCAGGAAACUGGGGCUAAUACCGGAUAGGAGCUCCUGCUGCAUGGUGGGGGUUGGAAAGUUUCGGCGGUUGGGGAUGGACUCGCGGCUUAUCAGCUUGUUGGUGGGGUAGUGGCUUACCAAGGCUUUGACGGGUAGCCGGCCUGAGAGGGUGACCGGCCACAUUGGGACUGAGAUACGGCCCAGACUCCUACGGGAGGCAGCAGUGGGGAAUAUUGCACAAUGGGCGGAAGCCUGAUGCAGCAACGCCGCGUGCGGGAUGACGGCCUUCGGGUUGUAAACCGCUUUCGCCUGUGACGAAGCGUGAGUGACGGUAAUGGGUAAAGAAGCACCGGCUAACUACGUGCCAGCAGCCGCGGUGAUACGUAGGGUGCGAGCGUUGUCCGGAUUUAUUGGGCGUAAAGGGCUCGUAGGUGGUUGAUCGCGUCGGAAGUGUAAUCUUGGGGCUUAACCCUGAGCGUGCUUUCGAUACGGGUUGACUUGAGGAAGGUAGGGGAGAAUGGAAUUCCUGGUGGAGCGGUGGAAUGCGCAGAUAUCAGGAGGAACACCAGUGGCGAAGGCGGUUCUCUGGGCCUUUCCUGACGCUGAGGAGCGAAAGCGUGGGGAGCGAACAGGCUUAGAUACCCUGGUAGUCCACGCUGUAAACGGUGGGUACUAGGUGUGGGGUCCAUUCCACGGGUUCCGUGCCGUAGCUAACGCUUUAAGUACCCCGCCUGGGGAGUACGGCCGCAAGGCUAAAACUCAAAGGAAUUGACGGGGCCCCGCACAAGCGGCGGAGCAUGCGGAUUAAUUCGAUGCAACGCGUAGAACCUUACCUGGGUUUGACAUGGAUCGGGAGCGCUCAGAGAUGGGUGUGCCUCUUUUGGGGUCGGUUCACAGGUGGUGCAUGGCUGUCGUCAGCUCGUGUCGUGAGAUGUUGGGUUAAGUCCCGCAACGAGCGCAACCCUUGUUCACUGCUGCCAGCACGUUAUGGUGGGGACUCAGUGGAGACCGCCGGGGUCAACUCGGAGGAAGGUGGGGAUGACGUCAAGUCAUCAUGCCCCUUAUGUCCAGGGCUUCACGCAUGCUACAAUGGCUGGUACAGAGAGUGGCGAGCCUGUGAGGGUGAGCGAAUCUCGGAAAGCCGGUCUCAGUUCGGAUUGGGGUCUGCAACUCGACCUCAUGAAGUCGGAGUCGCUAGUAAUCGCAGAUCAGCAACGCUGCGGUGAAUACGUUCCCGGGGCUUGUACACACCGCCCGUCAAGUCAUGAAAGUUGGUAACACCCGAAGCCGGUGGCCUAACCGAUGUGGGGGAGCCGUCGAAGGUGGGACUGGUGAUUAGGACUAAG
This 1439-nucleotide ribosomal RNA is filed under the name uncultured organism. RNAcentral's name for it is "16S ribosomal RNA". It matches the Rfam family "Bacterial small subunit ribosomal RNA". The record is from RNAcentral.